This 253-nucleotide ribosomal RNA is filed under the name uncultured bacterium. RNAcentral describes it as "partial 16S ribosomal RNA". It matches the Rfam family "Bacterial small subunit ribosomal RNA", at positions 524 to 776 of the family's 1533-position model. The record is from RNAcentral.
UACGUAGGGUGCUAGAGUUGUCCGGAUUUAAUGGGUGUAAAGGGUGCUCAGGUGGGUUUGUAAGUCAGAGGUGAAAUCCCAAAGCUUAACUUUGGUGCUGCCUUUGAUACUGCAAGCCUUGAGUUUGAGAGAGGGUAAUGGAAUAACUGGUGUAGCAGUGAAAUGCGUAGAUAUCAGUUAGAACACCAAUGGCGAAGGCAGUUACCUGGCUCAAUACUGACGCUAAAGCACUAAAGUGUGGGGAGCAAACAGG